CUGAGCCAUGCCUUAUGGCUCGGAGUGACUUAUCUCCCCCAUCACCGCGAUCUUUGGAGCCACAGGCUUCGAUGCCUUUACGAGGCAGUGCGACGGGCAGUCUGUGUGUGUUCGCCGCGCAGAGUAUUUCGCCGGAGAGCCUGAAGACUAAAUUUUCCUGCCUGUUGUAAGGACCUGUGCAAGGAGGACCUAGUGAAGCUGUGCGAGAAGUUUCGGGUAAAUGCGACCGGUCCGCUGUCCGAGCUUCGUGGCCUUUUUUGAGAACACAGCAGGAGCAGGAAAUUUCGACGAUUCAUGUGGAGGUAAUUUAUUCUACCAGUGACCUGAGGAGGGCCAGAGUACAAACAAUAAUUCACUCUUUGUAAGUUUGGCCACUGACCAUGAGAAGGAUUAAAUCAUCUCAACCACAACAUAGUCAAGUGGUCUUAGUAACUGUAGUAACUUUGACCUUAUGAAACUAUGUCAUGACCAAUCUGUCCAUAAACCUAAGGCGAUGGCUUGAUAACGUGAUUGAUUAAAGUGAGUUUUGAGAGA
Long non-coding RNA from Zootermopsis nevadensis, 534 nucleotides. RefSeq lists it as uncharacterized. Lineage: Eukaryota; Metazoa; Arthropoda; Insecta; Blattodea; Termopsidae. The record is from RefSeq and is a predicted model, not a curated record.